UAGGGAAUAUUGCAAAAUGGGCGAAAGCCCGAUGCAGCAACGCCACGUGGGCGAUGAAGGCCUUCGGGUCGUAAAGCCCUUUUUGAGGGGAUGAGGAAGGACAGUACCCUCAGAAUAAGCCUCGGCUAACUACGUGCCAGCAGCCGCGGUAAAACGUAGGAGGCGAGCGUUAUCCGGAUUUACUGGGCGUAAAGCGCGUGCAGGCGGAUUGGAGAGUUGGAUGUGAAAGCUCCCGGCUUAACUGGGAGAGGUCGUUCAAUACUUCCAGUCUUGAGUGCAGUAGAGGGAAGUGGAAUUCCGGGUGUAGUGGUGAAAUGCGUAGAUAUCCGGAGGAACACCAGUGGCGAAAGCGGCUUCCUGGACUGUAACUGACGCUCAGACGCGAAAGCUAGGGUAGCAAACG
RNAcentral lists this ribosomal RNA (403 nucleotides) under uncultured bacterium. Its description in RNAcentral is "bacterial SSU rRNA". It matches the Rfam family "Bacterial small subunit ribosomal RNA", at positions 355 to 774 of the family's 1533-position model. The record is from RNAcentral.